UACAGAGGUCCCAAGCGUUGUUCGGAUUCAUUGGGCGUAAAGGGUGCGUAGGCGGUCGCCUAAGUCAGGUGUGAAAUCUCGAGGCUCAACCUCGAAACUGCACUUGAUACUGGGUGACUUGAGUACUGGAGGGGAGACUGGAAUUUACGGUGUAGCAGUGAAAUGCGUAGAUAUCGUAAGGAAGACCAGUGGCGAAGGCGAGUCUCUGGACAGUUACUGACGCUGAGGCACGAAGGCUAGGGGAGCAAACGGG
RNAcentral lists this ribosomal RNA (253 nucleotides) under uncultured bacterium. Its description in RNAcentral is "partial 16S ribosomal RNA". It matches the Rfam family "Bacterial small subunit ribosomal RNA", at positions 524 to 776 of the family's 1533-position model. The record is from RNAcentral.